ACUAUCGGACACUCCAGGAGGCAGCCCGUGACUUUGGUCCAUCUGCGUUCCCUCUUGCCUCUAGGAGCAGGCUAGGCGGCGGGGGAGGGGGAUUCAUCUAAGGCAGAGCAUGGAGAGAACCCAAAUCUGAGGGGGAGGCUGGAGUUUCGGGUACAAGAGGAGGCGCCGGGGGAAUCUAGCACCGGGCCGCAGCGGGCACCGCCGCCCCUGUCAUCUCGCGCCGCGGGCCAUUGUACGGAUCUAUCAUAGACAGCAUUAAUUUGGGGGAAAUAAGCAUGGCACAUGAUGUGUUCCCCAGAAUAAAAAAUUUCACGGUGGAUAAAAUUAGAACCAUGAUCAAUGCCGACAAAAGGCCAAUGGAUUCAACAAAGAACGGAGAUUUCAUUUUUGGCAUUUCAGCACCACGAGAUGCUGCUAGUUCAGCAUAUUCUAGGGCAGAUGACGACUAUAAUGCACAACAAGAAGGGGAUGCUUGGGCAUGUGCAUGAAAGAUUUGUGAUUCUAUGGGCUUGACACAUCAGGUGACACUCCUGAUGCAGUUUCGAGUGAACGUUAGGGUGUGACAAAUUAAAGUCUCUUGUGGGCAUAGUUUGCCUGAGACUGUUUCUGUUGGGGCCCAAGUGUUUGUAUCAUAAAGAUCUAGAUUGGCUAUGUGGACCUAUAUAUUAAGUCAGUCAAACCAUGGAAUGAUUUCGAAGGUCAAGUACAAACUACUGUCUGCGGACAUGACCGAAAUAUAAGUUGCUUGGUAUGGA
Molecule: non-coding RNA, 755 nt
Organism: Triticum urartu
Lineage: Eukaryota; Viridiplantae; Streptophyta; Magnoliopsida; Poales; Poaceae
Source: RefSeq, a predicted model, not a curated record